GCGGCCUAUCAGCUUGUUGGUGAGGUAAUGGCUCACCAAGGCGACGACGGGUAGCCGGCCUGAGAGGGUGACCGGCCACACUGGAACUGAGACACGGUCCAGACUCCUACGGGAGGCAGCAGUGGGGAAUAUUGCACAAUGGGCGAAAGCCUGAUGCAGCAACGCCGCGUGAGGGAUGAAGGCCUUCGGGUUGUAAACCUCUUUUAGCAGGGAAGAAGCGAAAGUGACGGUACCUGCAGAAAAAGCACCGGCUAACUACGUGCCAGCAGCCGCGGUAAUACGUAGGGUGCAAGCGUUGUCCGGAAUUAUUGGGCGUAAAGAGCUCGUAGGCGGUUUGUCGCGUCUGCUGUGAAAAUCCGAGGCUCAACCUCGGACCUGCAGUGGGUACGGGCAGACUAGAGUGCGGUAGGGGAGACUGGAAUUCCU
This 426-nucleotide ribosomal RNA is filed under the name uncultured Actinomycetes bacterium. RNAcentral describes it as "bacterial SSU rRNA". It matches the Rfam family "Bacterial small subunit ribosomal RNA", at positions 233 to 671 of the family's 1533-position model. Lineage: Bacteria; Bacillati; Actinomycetota; Actinomycetes. The record is from RNAcentral.